This is a non-coding RNA of Salvelinus sp. IW2-2015, 1011 nucleotides long. NCBI's taxonomy places the organism in Eukaryota, Metazoa, Chordata, Actinopteri, Salmoniformes, Salmonidae. The record is from RefSeq and is a predicted model, not a curated record.
GAGAGAUCUUCAUCACCUGUYCUGUGGAGCUGGUGGUAGAGGGUGAAGWUWCUGUGACAUCACAGCAUAGUGAACCCCUCGGUAUCACCAUAGAUGUUGUAAAUCCUCCAGGAGCUACUAGUUCCCCAUCAGUGUUCAGUGUAAUCAUAACUGGUCAGGAGAAGACAAGCAGCAAUGGCACAGACCAAGGAAGAGUUUCUUCAGGUCCAGGGUUCCUCAUCAUCAUCAGUCUGGGUGCUGGUUCCCUUUUCCUGGUUUUGCUAGCUGGGUCUGUGCUGUGUGUUCUCCAACGCAAGUGUGGGGUUCAAGGCAGGCCUGUAAAUACUGGAAGGCCACCUGAACAGCAAGACCAAACCCCACCUUGUGUCUAUUCUGUCAUCACAAAGCCGUCUAGGGAUGAGGAAGAGGACACUAGUCUGCAAUACGCUACAGUGGCAUCUACUGGUGACCAAGCUAGUAUUCAAUAUGCAACAGUGAAAUCUACCGGUAACCAAGAUGGACCUGGGCGCACCAAGAUCAAGUUUGAAAUAGCUGGAGAGUACGCCCUCUUAGCAGAAUCAUAGAAGAAGAAACAUUUACUGGAUAACAUUUUUUGACAUAGUUUACAGUUAUAAUCCUAUCUUUCUUUCUUUCUUCAUAUUGGAUCAUAAUUUACUCAUAGUACAAAAAAAUACUGCCACAACAACAAAGACUAAAGAUAUCUACUCCUUUCUGAAAACAAGCAGCUUCAACUAUUUGCAUUUUAGGUUCGAUUAAAUAAAUGAAAAAUAAACUUUGUCUGAAACGUAAAAUAAAUAUUUUCCUAAAUUGAGUUACCCAAUCUAGUCAGCAGUCAACAAUCAGUAGUCACCAAUCUAUUUCCCUCCUUGACAAGAGUCAAUAGAGACUCAAAGCCACAAGAAGGUAGAACAAAUGUCAAACUUUGCUUGUUAAAUCUCUACUUCUCUCUCUCCGUUUCUGAUCUCUCGCUCUCUACAUCUCUCUCUUUAACCAUAUCUGGUGUAUAUUAGU